AUGGAGAAUGUGCAGUAUGCCGAAGAACUCGUGAGGGAGUUUCUUGUCUUUAGGGGUUUCACGAACACGCUGCAAGCUUACGAGGCAGAAUUGUCCACCGAGAUCGGCAGGAACUUUGAAGUAGACAAGAUCCUAGAUUUAGUGUUCUCAGUGUACAUACCAAAAUACCAACUGGACAGACUGCUAAGCAUCUUCAGCUUUUUAAAACAGUGUUUCACUUCACCUGCGGACACGGUACUCUACACGGCGCUUCUUAAACUGGAGCAGUCAGUAUUACGAUAUUAUGUUGUCAAUGCCUUGAAGUCUGGAAGGCAAGAAAAAGUUGUUGAAUUCUUUAGCGCAAGCGGCAGUUAUCUGAUGCAAAAGCGUGAAGAUUGGAUAGCAUGGUUUGCUAUACCAUAUAUUAAGAACCCAAGCUUGGAUCCACAGUUCCGUAUGUAUUUUUCCAAAGAAUGGUCAGACACUUUGGUUCUUUCAUUUCGGAACUUCUUAAGUGGGAUAUUCAAUGGUACUCGAAUCCCAGCUCUUUUGAAGAUUAGCACUGAAAAGAACAUGAUCAAGUGCCUCAAGAGUGACAUAAAGCAACUGAAUAACAAAUUGUCAGAACUGCAAGCAUUGUUAGAGGUGAAGGAAGUUGAACUAUCUCUGCUGAGAAGGAGUGGUAAUAGUAUUGAUUCUGGACACAAGAAUUUACUCGAGAUUACUACAUUUGGUUCUUCCGUUGAUGGACAAGCUUUCUCAGGAGUCUACGAAGAAUCCUCAACUUCAAGUAUACAGGGUGUUGAUUCACAUACUUUGAGUUCAGUAAAAUCAAGAGAUGAGAAAUUGUGUGAUUCUUCUAGGAUGAGCAAUGCAGAAAAUGAGCAGAUUUUGGUGUCAGAGGAAGAUUUUCCUGAAGUGAAGGUGGAUUUUCAGGAAACAUUUUUAGGCCAUAACAGUUCCAUAAGUAGCUGUCGGUUUUCUGCUUCUGGAUCAAAUAUUGCCAGUUCUUCGACUGAUGGCACAGUGAGAAUCUGGACAUACGACUCAUCAACACCAUCAUCAAAAAAUGCAACUAUAUACUGUGGAGCUGAAGUCAGCGCACUUUCUUGGGAAUGCAGAUCUGACCGCUUGCUGCUCAUAGGCACAGCUAAUGGAGGCAUUAAAGCUUGGAAUGCUGAUGCAAAGAGAGUUGUUUGUGACCUCAGUACAUCCAAGGACUUCCCAAGUGUGCUUGAUUUGAAGUGUAGCCCUGUAGAUCCUGUGUUCGUCUCUGCAGCUGCAUCGAGACGGCAUGGGUCAACUAUAUUUGACAGAACAGGAUUUGCCUCCUUGACAGUAUGGCAUAUGAAAACAUGGAAGCCUCUGACAGUCCUCCCUCUUGGCGAGGAUCCACCUGCUAUUACUUCACUUUGCUUCAAUCACAAUGGGAAGAUCUUGGCAGCAUCUGCAACAGAUGGCAUGAUUCACAUGUUUGACAUGUCUGCUGGUCUACAAAUCACUGGAUGGCCUGCCCAUGAUUCCCCUGUCAGCUCAGUUCUUUUUGGGCCAGCUGAAACAAGCAUCUUCAGUUUAGGCUCAGAUGGAAAGAUAUUUGAGUGGAGCUUGCACAAUCAAGGUCAGAUUAUUUGGUCAAGAGAUUGCAGUAGGUUUUGCAACCCUGAGAGCUUUAACAAACGCAUGCAUGAGGUAGCGUUGGAUUCUAAUGGCAAGAGGCUUCUUGCUACGUCGGGUUUGGUUCGGGCUCCAAUAUACCAGGUGCAGGGCCAUGAGAGAGGGUUGAGGACACUUCCUCAUACUGCACCUAUAACAAGUGUGGACUGGCACCCCACGCGGCCAAUCUAUGUUACCGGUUCUGAAGACCACUCUGUCCGCGUCACAUCCAUUCUAUGA
RNAcentral lists this ribosomal RNA (1872 nucleotides) under Triticum aestivum (bread wheat). RNAcentral's name for it is "partial small subunit ribosomal RNA". The record is from RNAcentral. Lineage: Eukaryota; Viridiplantae; Streptophyta; Magnoliopsida; Poales; Poaceae.